This 71-nucleotide transfer RNA is filed under the name Ictidomys tridecemlineatus (thirteen-lined ground squirrel). RNAcentral's name for it is "Spermophilus tridecemlineatus (thirteen-lined ground squirrel) tRNA". It matches the Rfam family "tRNA". From Rfam's summary of the family: Transfer RNA (tRNA) molecules are approximately 80 nucleotides in length. Their secondary structure includes four short double-helical elements and three loops (D, anti-codon, and T loops). Further hydrogen bonds mediate the characteristic L-shaped molecular structure. tRNAs have two regions of fundamental functional importance: the anti-codon, which is responsible for specific mRNA codon recognition, and the 3' end, to which the tRNAs corresponding amino acid is attached (by aminoacyl-tRNA synthetases). tRNAs cope with the degeneracy of the genetic code in two manners: having more than one tRNA (with a specific anti-codon) for a particular amino acid; and 'wobble' base-pairing, i.e. permitting non-standard base-pairing at the 3rd anti-codon position. Lineage: Eukaryota; Metazoa; Chordata; Mammalia; Rodentia; Sciuridae. The record is from Rfam by way of RNAcentral.
GAGGUUGUGGCUCAGUGGCAGAGCACUUGCCUGGCAUGUGUGAGGCACUGGGUUCAGUUCUUAGCACCUCA